This 374-nucleotide ribosomal RNA is filed under the name uncultured eukaryote. RNAcentral's name for it is "partial 18S ribosomal RNA". It matches the Rfam family "Eukaryotic small subunit ribosomal RNA", at positions 592 to 976 of the family's 1831-position model. The record is from RNAcentral.
UAAUAGUGUAUAUUAAAGUUGUUGCAGUUAAAAAGCUCGUAGUUGAAUGUUGGUGUCGAACGAGCGGUCAGCUUCGGCUGUACUGCUCUCUCGACUCCUUCCUUCUGUGGACUACGUCGCACUUUACUGUGUGGCGCUAGGACGCAGAUCGUUUACUGUGAAAAAAUUAGAGUGUUCAAAGCGGGCCGUACGCUUGAAUACAUUAGCAUGGAAUAAUGGAAUAGGACGUCGGGCCUAUUUUGUUGGUUCUAGGACCGUCGUAAUGAUUAAUAGGGACAGUUGGGGCCGUUUAUAUUCCGUAGUCAGAGGUGAAAUUCUUGGAUUUACGGAAGAUAAACUACUGCGAAAGCAUUCGGCAAGGAUGUUUUCGUUAA